This is a non-coding RNA of Pelobates cultripes (western spadefoot toad), 233 nucleotides long. NCBI's taxonomy places the organism in Eukaryota, Metazoa, Chordata, Amphibia, Anura, Pelobatidae. The record is from the annotation of a GenBank genome assembly.
CAAACACACACUCAGUUACAGGUAGACAGUCAGACACACAGUUACAAGCAGACAGUGACACACGCUCAUUUACAGGCAGACAGUCACACGCACACACACACACACACAGACACACACCAUUACAGGCAGACAGUCACACACAGUUACAAGUAGACAGUGACACACGCUCAUUUAGAGGCAGACAGUCACACUAACUCACACACACACAGACACACACAGUUACAGGCAGACAG